RNAcentral lists this unclassified non-coding RNA (537 nucleotides) under Hevea brasiliensis (rubber tree). The record is from RNAcentral. Lineage: Eukaryota; Viridiplantae; Streptophyta; Magnoliopsida; Malpighiales; Euphorbiaceae.
UCCACCUUCACUGAUGCUACCUUCCAUCUGUAAUGGCCACCACCCAUCCCCACCGCCACCUCCACCUCCCCUCUUCUUACCCACUUCCACCAUAUUUACCAUACUACCCUUCUCUUCUCUCCUCCCCCACCAAACCUAGGUCUUGCAAGAUCCUCUGUUGCCUAUCAAUAAAGCAUUCGAAUGACAGCCAAAUUGCCACCAGCAACACCCACAACCACAAGCAACAAACCAGCAAUCUCCGGGUGGUGUUCGCGGCUGGUGAGACUGGGGGACAUAUAAUUCCUGCUUUGGCCAUAGCUGAUGAGCUCAAAAUCGCAAACCCCAACACCGAAUUCCUCUUUAUAGGAACCCCAAACAGCAUGGAAAGCGCUUCCAUCCCUUCCGCCGGAUAUCCCUUCUCUUCCAUCCCACCUGUAAGGUUGUAUCGCCCACUCUUCUCCCCUCGAAAUCUUUCCCUUCCCUUCCAUUUGAUUCAAUCAACCAUCCAUAGCUUCAAGCUUCUUCGAGAUUUCAAUCCUCAUAUAGUUGUAGGCACGG